AUGAGAGAGGAGUGGAAGCAGGAUCUACUGUGGAUCACAGGCACAAUUCCCCCCCUUGCUGAAUUCGCUACACAUGUUGCAACCGAGCAAGCAAGCCAACAUAAACCAGCACUAAAGCAGAAAGACAUUGAAAAUUGCUUGUUUGCUUACAAGAUGCAAGCUAUUGCAACUCCAAAGCAUCUAGUGCAGCAAUCUGUCCUGGAAGCAAAAUUCCCAGAGCAACUGGUGACCUUGGCUUCCUUUGAGCUGGCAGAAUGCAGAUGGAAAUAUGAAAGUCAUACAGCCACCCAGAACUUGAAAUGCCGAGACGUCAGGCAAUCAAAAACUGUUUAAUAAUACCAGCUUGACAGGUUUUAAAGGGAAUAGCAGCAGCAGUAUAUUCUAUAUUUUUUAAAUUUCCCAGUCCAACUUUUCUGGUUUGAAAAUAUGCUUAAAAAAUAGACUUAUGCAUGGAACUUUCUGAUGGAGAGUGGAAUUAUCUUAAGUUCAGCAAGAUGAACAUGGCUGCAAAAAUUAAAGAACUUAAUCUCCAGUUAUUGCAUAGAUGGUACAGAACUCCAGUGCGAAGUCUCCUGCUUGAAAUACAUUCAUAUCUGUGUGGAAACUGUUAACAGACUGUUGGCUUAUAUUAAAAGAUCACUAUAUGCGCCACAGUAUAUCUUAACAUUAUGGUUAAAUGACCAUUAAUUGCACUUCGAUUCCAGAUUAUCUCUCAUUCUUUGCCCAAUGCCCAAUAAUUGUUGAUAGGUGAAUUGUACGUUCUUUUUAUUUUGUAACAAUUUGCAUUUGUAUCUUUCAUUGUAUGUUUGACAAUUAGUUUAUUGCUUAGUGCCGAAUGACAUGAUAUUAUAGUUGAUGAAUAUUUCAAUAAACAUUGUUUUAAAAAAGAAGAAAGAAAGAAA
This 902-nucleotide long non-coding RNA is filed under the name Salvator merianae (Argentine black and white tegu). Its description in RNAcentral is "lncRNA (ENSSMRG00000006558.1)". The record is from RNAcentral. Lineage: Eukaryota; Metazoa; Chordata; Lepidosauria; Squamata; Teiidae.